This 418-nucleotide long non-coding RNA is filed under the name Apteryx owenii (little spotted kiwi). RNAcentral's name for it is "lncRNA (ENSAOWG00000014839.1)". The record is from RNAcentral. Lineage: Eukaryota; Metazoa; Chordata; Aves; Apterygiformes; Apterygidae.
CCGCAGCUUCCUGCUCCCGUGGUUGUGAAAGCAGAAAGGCCCAGGCCAUCCACAGUGCACCACCAUCACCAUUACUCUCCCCCAGGGGUGCUACCCCCCAUUGGAUAUUCUGUGUGGCCCCCAGCAGUACAGUCCGGUCUCAUGGGACAGAAUGGAGCAUUCCCAUCCAUGGUGCAUCAUUUGCCCGGAAGCACACUCCCUGUGGUGCAUACAAAUGGAUGGACUUCUCCCCAGGCUGCCCCCGGGUCUGUAGAGCCCUCAAGCCCUUAGCAGAGGUGGCCUGAGUACUGACAGUACAUGUUUCUCUACAAGUGGACCAUGGCCUCACUGAGGUCAACUUCCACAGAACAGUUCCUGAAUAGUCUGACAGCCUGAUGUCUAUACAACUGCACAUUGCUGGUGCAAGAAGUGAGCAGGA